GAUGAACGCUGGCGGCGUGCCUAAUACAUGCAAGUCGAGCGAACAGACGAUGAUCUUGCUCCUCUGACGUGAGCGGCGGACGUGUGAGUAACACGUGUAUAACCUACCUAUAAUACUGGUAUAACUUCGAGAAACCGGAUCUAAUACCGGAUAAUAUAUUGAACCGCAUUGUUCAAUAGUGAAAGACGGUUUUGCUGUCACUUAUAGAUGGAUCCGCGCCGCAUGAGAUAGUUGGUAAGGUAACGGCUUACCAAGGCAACCAUGCGUAGACGACCUGAGAGGCUGAUCGCCCUCAUUGGAACGGAGCCACGGUCAAUACUACUACGGUAGGCAGCAGUAGGGAAUCUUACGCAAUGGGCGAAAGCAUGACGGAACAACGCCGCGUCAGUGAUGACGGUCUUCGGAGCGUAAAACUCUGUUACUAGGGAAGAACAACUGUGGAAGUAACUAUGGACGUCUUGACGGUACCUAAUAAGAAAGCCCCGGCUAACUACGUG
RNAcentral lists this ribosomal RNA (497 nucleotides) under uncultured bacterium. RNAcentral describes it as "partial 16S ribosomal RNA". It matches the Rfam family "Bacterial small subunit ribosomal RNA", at positions 28 to 507 of the family's 1533-position model. The record is from RNAcentral.